AAAAAAAUGCACAAUUCAGGAAUUAUUAGAAUAUAUUUGGGGAACAAGUGACAUUGGAUAUUUUCGAUAUACUAACCAAAAUAAGACGCGGCAAGACAAACAGAAUAGAAAUUUUGAAAAAUAUGGAUAA
This is a long non-coding RNA of Sphaerodactylus townsendi, 130 nucleotides long. RefSeq lists it as uncharacterized. The record is from RefSeq and is a predicted model, not a curated record. The transcript has 3 exons. NCBI's taxonomy places the organism in Eukaryota, Metazoa, Chordata, Lepidosauria, Squamata, Sphaerodactylidae.